AUGGCGAGCCACCGCCGCCUCCGCGACCUGCUCCUCCUCGCCGCGGCGCUCCUGCUCUCCGCCUCCUGCGCCGCCGCCGCCAACUUCGAGUACUGCAAUAAGGGGCGCCACUAUCCGGUGAAGGUGAGCGGCGUCGAGAUCGUCCCCGACCCCGUCGUGCGCGGCCAGCCCGCCACCUUCAAGAUCUCCGCCUCCACCGAUAAAACCAUCACCAAAGGGAAGCUGGUGGUAGAUGUGUGGUACUUCUUUUUACACGUCGAUUCAGAGACUCAUGACUUGUGUGCUGGGACUCCCUGUCCCGCAACGGGCAAAUUCGUACUAGCCAGCGAACAGACUUUGCCAUCUUACACCCCACCAGGUUCUUACAGUCUCCAGAUGAAGCUGCUGGGGGACAAGAACGAGGAGCUGACCUGCAUCUCGUUCGGGUUCAGCAUCGGGUUCGUCGCGCCUGUCGCCAUUAUGUGA
Molecule: ribosomal RNA, 465 nt
Filed under: Triticum aestivum (bread wheat)
Lineage: Eukaryota; Viridiplantae; Streptophyta; Magnoliopsida; Poales; Poaceae
Description: partial small subunit ribosomal RNA
Source: RNAcentral